RNAcentral lists this ribosomal RNA (455 nucleotides) under uncultured bacterium. RNAcentral's name for it is "bacterial SSU rRNA". It matches the Rfam family "Bacterial small subunit ribosomal RNA", at positions 29 to 524 of the family's 1533-position model. The record is from RNAcentral.
AGCGAACGCUGGCGGCAGGCUUAACACAUGCAAGUCGAGCGGGCGUAGCAAUACGUCAGCGGCAGACGGGUGAGUAACGCGUGGGAACGUACCUUUUGGUUCGGAACAACCCAGGGAAACUUGGGCUAAUACCGGAUAAGCCCUUACGGGGAAAGAUUUAUCGCCGAAAGAUCGGCCCGCGUCUGAUUAGCUAGUUGGUGAGGUAACGGCUCACCAAGGCGACGAUCAGUAGCUGGUCUGAGAGGAUGAUCAGCCACAUUGGGACUGAGACACGGCCCAAACUCCUACGGGAGGCAGCAGUGGGGAAUAUUGGACAAUGGGCGCAAGCCUGAUCCAGCCAUGCCGCGUGAGUGAUGAAGGCCCUAGGGUUGUAAAGCUCUUUUGUGCGGGAAGAUAAUGACGGUACCGCAAGAAUAAGCCCCGGCUAACUUCGUGCCAGCAGCCGCCGCCGUAAC